Molecule: long non-coding RNA, 518 nt
Organism: Zonotrichia albicollis (white-throated sparrow)
Lineage: Eukaryota; Metazoa; Chordata; Aves; Passeriformes; Passerellidae
Source: RefSeq, a predicted model, not a curated record
ACAAAUGAUCAGAAAGUGCAGCAGCCAGAGAAAGCCUGCUUGGAAAAACUGAAACCCAUAGAAUCAGAAAAGAGACACCUGAGAGCUGAUGUAUUGAGGAGGUACCCUGGAAGCAUUUUGUGAUGCUGACCACCUGCUAAGCCACAGAAAUGCUGCCUUCAAACACCAGUAAAAGACUUUGAAAAGGAACAGGCGUGGCUCUAAUUUCCAUCGUACUGCUGCACUAACUCCCUUGAAAUGGGGAUCAAAGCUCCAGCCUGGGGGAGAGUUGCUUUACUUUUUCCCCCCUUUUCCCACCCUGGUUUUAUUACCCACGUGUAAGUUAAAACCCCAGCUUGCUUGCUGGUCUGUGGCAGUGGCAUCAGAGAUAGUGUGUUCUGGUUUGGGCUGGGAUAUAGUUAAUUUUCUUUAUAGUAACUGCAAUGGGCUGUGUUUUGGAUUUGUGCUGAAAAUAGUGAUGAUAAUUCAGGGAUAUAUUUGAUUUUGCUGAGCAGUGCUUGCACAGAGUCAAGGCCUUC